Glycine soja is the source of this 118-nucleotide non-coding RNA. The record is from Rfam. Lineage: Eukaryota; Viridiplantae; Streptophyta; Magnoliopsida; Fabales; Fabaceae.
UUCUUAUGGGAUGAUAAGAGUUACGUGUCAUGUUUUCAUUGAAUGUCAACUUCAUAAAAAUAAAAUGAAUUGUUGUUUGUUUUACAAAUCAAAACAUCACACGUAAUAAUGAUUAUCC